UACUAAGAGUCCUGCUCAUAAAGUUUUUUUGUCCAGCAGUUUAUCUUCCACUGAAGAGGAAAAAAGAGAAGGGAAGGGUCCCAAAAAAAGUUCAGCCAUGAACAGGUCAACAUUAGUCCAUGGAACAAUAGCUUAAUAGUUCACAAAGCAAUUGAAAGUUGCUCAAGCAAACAAACUUAAAUACACACACAAGAGAGCUCACAAGCCAAGAAAAAUCCAGAGUCUACAAGGCGUGAAUCAAUUCCAAACACUGUGCCAAUCAAGAGUGAAGCAGGAAACACGAUUAAAAACACACAGCUAGAAAACAACGCCUCCGUCUGCUGUGAUAAAUAGCCAGAUUUCCAGUGCAGCCCAUCAAGACAGACGGGCUUUCUCCUCUCGAGCCAUCAAUCCAGCUCCUGACCUGCCAGGAAUGGGCUCAUCCUCCACUAAGCUGACAUCUGAGAAGGAGUCUGGGGAGUCAUCCAAGGUAGACAUUAGAAGAAGAUACAAUGUCACUAAGACAACCUGAUGGAACUUGCGGCAUAUGAACCUCUGGGGCAGAAUUUAAGGUGACAGAACAUUCAUGAAAGGCAACAGAAUCGAGACUGAAGCAGGUUAUUGAGAAAUUAUGAAUACAAAAAAUAAAAGGUAAAGUAUAUUUGCUGAUUUAAAGAAAAUAUGGGAUGAAGUGAAUAGACUUGAAAUAAGCAACACUUGCAUAGUUUUACAAAAAGCUAAGUCAAGGAGGUCAAUUUGUAUGCCUUGCUAGAAAGUUUACUAAAAAUGGAAAAACAAAUGGAGACAUUUUUAGUUUCACAAAUGUUGGUAGAAUGCUAGUGGGAAGUAUUUAGUCUGUUACAAAAAAAAAAGAAUGUGGAAAAAAGUGAAAAUAUGUUUCUGUCCACAUUAUUAUAUAGAAUUGAGUGAUGAAUAUAUCAGGAAAAAGGUGAAAAUAAUUUGAAUAAAUUUA
Long non-coding RNA from Protobothrops mucrosquamatus (brown spotted pit viper), 952 nucleotides. RefSeq lists it as uncharacterized. The record is from RefSeq and is a predicted model, not a curated record. The transcript is spliced from 3 exons. NCBI's taxonomy places the organism in Eukaryota, Metazoa, Chordata, Lepidosauria, Squamata, Viperidae.